Pelobates cultripes (western spadefoot toad) is the source of this 17002-nucleotide non-coding RNA. Lineage: Eukaryota; Metazoa; Chordata; Amphibia; Anura; Pelobatidae. The record is from the annotation of a GenBank genome assembly.
AGCUAAGCAGACAUCUGUAAGGUACGUAGCAGCUCCAAUGCCGUAUAAUUGAUCAUGUAACCUUGCUAAACUCCACAACCUGUUGUCAUUUUCUGCAUGUAUGGCCUUUUUAAAAAGCUGAUUAACUAUUUGCUAAAUUAAUAUUAAAUUGGGGGGAAAAAAGGCAAAUAGAUUAGCAGUAGACAAAAAUGUUUAUUUUAUAUUAUUGUGAUUCCUUGUAAAAAAAAAAUGAUAUUCUAUAUUUGAUUUUUUAAAUUAACUUAAUCUUUUAUUCACAUUUAUCUAUUUUAUCCAUUUAUAUUUUUGUAUAUACAUGGAUAGAUGGAUGGAUAGAUAGAUAGAUAUGCAUCCUUUAUUUCCUUUUUUGACAUAAUUUAUAUUUUCUUAUUAUUAUGAUAGAAAAAAAUGCUGUUUUCUCAUAUUCUUCAAAUUGAUUGCAUGUUUUUUUUUUUUCUGGAAUUGGUUAAAAACAUUUGGUACGCAAAGGGUUAUGCAGCUGUUGCAUCCAUAUAGUUACUAGUUCCGUGCCCGCUUCUUCUUAAUUACUUUCUCAUUCAGGGGAAAUCACAAGUAGUUCACUUCUGGCUAAUCCCAGCAUUUACAAAAAGGAUUACAUUCUCUCACUGUCAAACACCUUUUGCAUAAGACACAGGUGGAUAUCUAAACCCCUUAUUAUCAAAUCUUAGAUCUGCAAAUAUGAUUAAAACAUUUCUUCACUGAUUGAAAAAAAUAUUAAUCGUUGUCAAUGUAUUUUGUUACUUUACGUAUAAAUGUAUUUCUUAAAAGAUUGACAUUUCAAGGAAAUGAAACAAUUUACAAGAAUUCAUCUUUACAUUUUUUUUUUAUUUUUUUUUAAAUACCAGAUGAAAAUAAUGCAGGUUAACUUCUACUGUAUGUUACUAUAUACAGUCUAUCUACUAGUGUGGAAAACAUGGUUCUGUUAAGUAAAAUUGUAGGGUUAAUAGGAGAAAAUGGGCUGCUAUAUCUGUUUCAUGCCAAGUCAUUUCUACGUCUUUUUAUGUGGGAAUGUUCAAAGUCAAAGCUUUUAAAGAGUUACGGACUAAAGUCUAAAACUUGAGCGUUGCAUUCACUAAGAAACUAGUGCAAUGCUGCUGCUGAAUUGUGCACACUAUAUAUGAUAGAAAACAACAAUUAUUUUGGACAAAAUGGCUACUGCUUUUUUUUUUUUUUAGUUUAGCUCUGCGUUUUAUUUUAUUUCUAACUCAGAUAGCUCUUUCUCGACCAUUCUUUCAUUCCGUAUCUGUACCAGUAAAUACCACUUUGGUGAUACCGUUAUUCUGUGCACCAUCUAUUCUUUCAGUGUUAUUUCUAAAGUGACUGUAGCUGGGAAUUCAAAGUGAAUUUCCAAAUUUAAGUCAAUACAGCGUAUUAGAUGAAAAAUUCUACAAGUCAAUUUUGUUCUCAGUUUGGCUGCUUUGACCUUCGUUCUGAAAUACAUUCUGAGGUUCAAUCAAUUCUUAGUUUUCUGUUUUUUUUUUUCUUCUAUCAUUCUACUGUUCGCAUGCAAAAAUGCCAACUCUUGGGUAUUAUCUGUCUGUCUGCCAGGGUUGACAAGGCAACUAAAACAGAAAAACAUUGUAAUAUUCUGUAGCAACUGAAUGCCACCGUUAUCCAGAUUUAUCCGUUUUGAAACCUGCCCAUGAAACAAGAUAAUGAAACACAAUAUACCAAUUGCUCUAUAGAGUAUCUUUAAAAGUAAUUUUAUUGGCAGGUGGGCUUACAUUUUAAUGGCCAUUGGAGUGAUACUAACCUCUGGUUAUCUAAAUAUGCACAGGGAUUUGGGAUAGUGUGCAAGUAACUUUUUCUUCUUUGGUUUUUAUUCUGUGAAUUGUGGAUGAUCUGUACUUUAGUCAUUGCUGCUGCCCAGGAGUAGUGGGAGUUUGAGUGCAGGGCCGUAUUUCAUGUGUUGAUUGUUUUUGUGUUUAAUUGUAAAAGCUUAAAACAUAAGUGCAGAAAAUGAGAACAAUACACAGGCUUUAAAUGUUAACGUAGGUAAGAUCUUCUGUGUUCUGCGUAGCUAAGGCAAAAUCCAAGAGAAACUCCAGUGUAUCUCUGAAAGUGUCUGCAAACCUUUUGUGUUAUAGAUCAAUUAAGACUGACAAGCCCUUUCCAUGCGUAAAAAUAAGUAGUCAUGGUGAGGACAAUGUGAGACCAUGCUAACGUGCCAAGGAAUUUAUAAAUAAAAAGUGCACCUCUCCACAGCCCUGGCAGAGAAGAUGCAUCAAAAUCCACUGAAAAUACAUGAAUAAAAAUGGAACAUGAUCUAUAGAGCACCUGUUCCUAUCUUAGCCACUAAGGACCUCCUGUAUCACAGCUCAGCUCAGGGUGACCGUUCUUAUUUAGACCAAGAAGUGGUUGGUUGAGGCUGAUAUGGCUAGAUUAUCUUAUUGUGUCUGGACGAUGCUAGCGUGAUGGCCUCUUCAUUCUGUGGAAGCUCUGAUGUAACAUUAGGAAUAAUUCUUAUUUUGGGAUAACAUUUGUUUCUCCAAGUGUAAUAGAUCUCUCUGUCCUGACCCCCUUGAUCUGUUGGAAUACAGUGGACGUAUGUAUAUCUUGGCUGUGGAACAAAGAGUUGUAAAUUAUGAUUGAAACUUUUUCCUCCCAUCCAUAUCAAUUAGUGCUUCAUCUCAUAAGAGAAUUGUUCCAGUAGCAUAGAACCAUAUGUUGCUAAGUAUUUCAUCUUGUUUUUACAUAAUGGCUUGUGAAGUAUAUUAACCCCAGGGUAUUUGGGGUGAGGGGGCUGAAAACCAGAGUAAUGGGCUUUGAGAAACAGGAUGGAUGUGAAAUAUUGAUUCUUAUAAAUGACACUGGCAUGUUUCACAUUCACCAAAACCCAAAUACACUUCAGUUGUAUAUUAUGUAUGACUAUGAAUGGUAAUGUGAUUGUUGACAAACCAAUUUAAAUACAUUUCUUCUUAGAUGUUCUCCUACUAGGAGUUCAAAUACAUCACAUUAAAUAAUUAUCCUGUCCAGAGUCGCAGUUGAAAGGGAGAUAUUUUCUACAUCAUUGGGGUAGCACGUGGGCCUGUGGGCUUGCUCUGUUCCUGGCCAUGCCAUCCCCCACACACAAUCACCUAACAGAUCUAUGCUAUAAAAUUUAUAUUGUGACUGCUGACACUGGUGUGAAGGGCUUUAAACUGAUUGUGGCCAUACUCAUUCUUUCUGGUGGCAGUCAUCAAAGUGUUCUGUACUAAAAAGUAUUGCAAAAAAUGUGGAAUGAUGCUGGUUCCUCUGGUUUUCAUGGUUAUUUCUCCACUUUUAGUACUUUAGUCCACUUGAUAAUAUCCCCCAAUAUUAUGUAGACAUUUUUGAAGUGUAACAAGCUCUUUCAGAAGACAGAGCGUGCCUCUAGGAACCUGUAAUAAUAAUAGUUAAAUCAGAGCUUGUAGGUUCUCUGACUGUCAGACUCUAGACCAGGGGUCUCGCUGGCACAUACACAUGUACACACCAGAAACACAGACAGAAAUGCACACUGUGACGGACCGCCUGGCACCCCGACUGGGUGCCCCUGCCAUUCGCUGCUUCCUAGCUGUCGCCGAGUAACAUAAGCACCACACCCGAGUAACAUAAGCACCGUAGCCCCUUAGCCGCUGCAGCUUGGCUGGGGUCUCACCAAACUUCUGGAUCCAGCUCCCAGUGAGAAGAUCUCUCCUCCAAGAUAGUAUAGCAGGUAUAACUGUGCAGCUCUUACAAGAGCUAGUGAUUAUAGCAAUCCAAAGAACAAUCCCAAGAGCAGGGAUUAUAGCUCGUAUAGCUUUCCCCUACAAGCACGAGACGAGGCUGUGUGGAGGGUAAACUGGAACUAAUUUAGUGGCAGCCACAACUCGCCUUAUAUGCAGGUCCCCCUGCAGGGGUCACUCCCCCCUGGACCAGAGAGUAGACUACAGCAAAGACAUACAUAUGAUUACAUUGUCUCUCAGGUCCAGGACACUCCCAUACAAAAUGAUAUAAUCAUUCCUUUGUGCAUGAGAGAUAAUUGAUUUAGGAACUGUACUAAACUCAAUUAUCUGAAACAGUACCGGUAAUAUAAAUACUACCACACGUCUACAUCACCCGAAACUUAUAGAGAGUAAAAAUACUUACAUAUACAUGUCCUUUUUUAUAUAUUAUAUUAAUAUCAAUAAAUAAUUUUGUACCAGCUGUGGAUCCAGCUUGGAAUUCCUUCGUAGCCAGUUAUUGGCACCCCAAUGCAGAUUAUAUAGAGCCUGACACGGCUCUAUGCUUGUGAGUGUACAUUCUAUACCUUUUUGGUUUUUAUCUUACUGUACAGGCUUCACUAUGUAUUGUUUAAUUUAUUUCUCAUAGAUUUUAAGAGAGGAAGCUGUUCCUAACUUCAAGACACGAUUGUUGGGAAGUAUUUUUACUCUCUAUAAGUGUCACAUUGGGUGAUGUAGACGUGUGGUAGUAUUUAUAUUACCGGUACUGUUUCAUAUAUUUCUAAGGUGAUUGGGAACACCUAUAGUCAUACACACCCUACUAAUAAUUGUGAAGCGCCUAAACACCAUUUAACUCUUUGAGUUUUGUUUUGUUUAAACUCCAUUAUCGCCAGGCACAGAAAAUUUUUAUAAAACCCCAAAAUACAUUUAAACACACAAAACCCCCACAAAUGUUACAUCCCCUGAUAGCCCUGAUCUGCGUGACCAACAUAUCCAAAAAGCACCCAGAUUGGUUCAGGAAUUUCCUGGAAGUUAUAAUUUGACUGACCACACGCAUGGUCCCAUGCCCAAAACAGUUCCAGAGAAUCAGGGCUUGCAGUUGAUCUAGUUCGGUUUGAAAACCGAACAAACUACCAAACAUAGUCAAUGUUCUAACCCUGGAGCUUGUUCACCUUGUUCGUGGGAACGAUUCCAAGAAACAGUGCCCUUCUAAGUGGUGUAAAACCAAACGCAGGCGAUCCUGGAAGUCCAGCAGUGUUCGGGAGUUUCAAUGUCCGAAAACAGUUCCAUGAACUCGACGACCAAACACCGCUGCCUGCGUUCACAGAAACAAGAUGUCCACCAUCUCGUGGUCGUUCAUGCGAACAACGGCCACCCAGACAAACAAUUAGAACACUGCAGUUAGAAUCGUUCCAAGGUGUUAAUAGGGCUUAACAAGCUCCCGGGUGGUCUCUGGUUCAUGGGGCUGUUCGGUUCCCGAACCAAAUAUAAAAUCCCACAAACCAACUUUAUUCCUAUAGCUUUUAAAGGGCCCAUAGUCUUUUGGCAGGAGGCUGGCAAGCAGGCCCCUCCAAGAGCACAUAGCAGUGGCAUUUAUGCCACACACACCCUCAGGUACAUACACAGGUACAUAAUGCUAGACACACUCAGCCCUUCAUAAGUUCUUCCUCCACACACAUCACUCAGUCACAGAAAUCUGAAGCCCUGCCUAGAGCCCUGGGCAAUCUUAAUCCGGUUCUGAUUAUUGUCCAUCCCCUUCUGUAAUAUGUAUUAAAACAAUGCACAGAGCUCCACGGUUCUAAAUGUUUUUAUAUGUUUAGUUCUGUCUUCAUCUCCUCUUAUUGCACCCAUGCUGUCUAAAUCCCCAUUUUCCCUUACUCUCCCACUUAUCCCUCAUUCUCACCUCAUCCUCUUAUCACUUCCACCCACCCCCAUCACUUUUGCCUAUUCCUUUCUGACUCCCUCUCUCCCCAUGCUUCUAUCACACUGACCCAUCUGUCCUUCUCUCCCUCAUACUUUUAUCACUCUGCUUCUAUCCACACUGACCCACUCUGUCCUUCUCUCCCUCAUACUUUUAUCACUCUGACCCAUUCCUUCCUUUCUCCUCACUCUGUCCCCACUCGCCCUCCCCAUAUUCCUAUCACUCUGACCCAUUCCUUCCUCUCUCCCCAUAUUCCUAUAACUCUAACCCAUUCCUUCCUCUCUCCCCAUAUUCCUAUAACUCUGACCCAUUCCUUCCUCUCUCCCCAUAUUCCUAUAACUCUGACCCAUUCCUUCCUCUCUCCCCAUAUUCCUAUAACUCUGAUCCAUUCCUUCCUCUCUCCCCAUAUUCCUAUAACUCUGACCCAUUCCUUCCUCUCUCUUCCUAUUCCUAUCACUCUGACCCAUUCCUUCCUCUCUCCCCAUACUUCUAUCAGUCUGACCAAUCCCUCCCUCGCUCCCCAUACUUCUAUCACUCUGACCCAUUCCUUCUGCUCUCCCCCCAAUUCUACAUCUCUGACCCAUUCCUCCCUCGCUCCCCAUACUCCUAUCACUCUGACCUAUUCCUCCCUCUCUCCCCAUACUUCUAUAAUUCCCACCUACACCUCUCACACCCAGUAUCCCUCCCUCCCUACAAAUUGUCCAAUCACUUCCACAUAUCCCUUCCUCUCUUCAUAUCACUCCCAUCUGCAUCUUCCCUUGCCCCUACGUCUUUCACCUUCCAUAUUACUUCCACCUACUUCCCUUUUUUUUUUUUUUUACAUUUUUUAAAUCAAGAGAUCUUGUCUCUGCUGCACUGCUGUACUCACCUAUACUCACCCAGACACACAACACUCACAGCUACCCAAACAGCCAAAACACACUCACAGCCACAAACAUCAUGCACAAAAAGCUACAAUACUUACAGCAACCCUGCACCUCCACCCCCCCCUACCCCCACCCCCACAGAAUUUUUACAGACAUUCAUCUUGUAUACAAUUAAAAAAUAACCGGUAAAUAAUUCAACCAUCCUAAUUUCUGCUGGACAGUUACUAUUUUGGGGGUCCUGACUCAUCAUCACAGGUUUGUUCCCUCAUGUCCCACAUCUGAUGACACCAGGGAACUGUCUCCAGCCAUCAAUGCCUUUGUGUGCAUAAUUAGAUGCACUUGGACUGUGCAGAGGGCUCUAGGGACAUGCAGAGGGUACAAUAGCAGCACUCGCUGUAUGAAGUGCUCUAUGUGGGGCCAGCCAGGAGGCGGUAAGUCAGCCUGGUGUGCAUUUAUACCAGUUAAACACCCUUUCUGUGGACCUGCCUGCCUCUUCUCUGUGUGACGUCACUAGUGAUGCAAGCUGUAUUUCUGACAUGGCCUCCCCAAAGCCCCUCCACCCAGGUGCACACCCUAAUUAACCCCUUAAGGACACAUGAUGGAAAUAUUCCAUCAUGAUACCAUUUUAUUUCAUAAGUUGUGUCCUUCAGGGGUUAAAUGUGCAUGCCUAUGAAAAUAACAUUGUUACACCCUCCUCCCCCCCCCAGCUGUCAAUCAGAUAACCCGUCCUGUUAAUUCAUGAUUGUUUAGCUCAGUGGAGCUAAACUCAAGAGGCAACAAUUGCUCAGAGCACCUGCCUUGGACAUAUUUUCAUUGGCUGCAAUGAGAAGUCUGUGAUAGGAAAGACAAAGAAAGCCUGGGCAGGGUUAGAAGAGGAGGGCUUAUAAAGACUUCAGACAAGAGAUCUGCAGCUUUUGCACAAUGUUUUUAGAUAAACCCCUACUCAAAAAAUUCACAGUAUAAUAUAUAUUGAUUGUAUAAUGAUUUAUAUUUUUAAUUUGAGCAGUGGAGUGUCCCUGUAAGGUAACUCACUUUCAUUUUUAGAGCCUAAAUUUUGGGUCCAAUUAAACAUUGGUACUUUACACUUAGCUGUGGUUAGUUCUCUGAGAUAUUUGGCACAACCUGUAGCAAACAAAUAUACAGGUGAUACUCGAAAAAUUAGAAUAUCGUGCAGAAGUUCAUUUAUUUCAGUAAUGUAAAAGGGGAAACUAAUAUAUGAGAUAGACGCAUUACACGCAAAGCAAGAUAGUUCAAGCCGUGAUUUCUCACAAGUGCAAUGAUUAUGCCUUACAGCUCAUGAAAACCCCAAAUCCACAAUCUCAGUAAAUUAGAAUAUUGUGAAAAGGUGCAAUAUUCUAGGCUCACAGUGUCCCACUCUAAUCAGCUAAGUAAGCCAUAACACCUGCAAAGGGUUUCUGAGCCUUUAAAGGGUCUCUCAGUCUGGUUCAGUGGGAAUCACAAUCAUGGGGAAGACUGCUGACCUGACAGUUGUGCAGAAAACCAUCGACACCCUCCAUAAGGAGGGAAAGCUUCAAAAGGUAAUUGCGAAGGAAGUUGGAUGUUCCCAAAGUGCUGUAUCAAAGCACAUUAAUAGAAAGUUAUGUGGAAGGGAAAAGUGUGGAAGAAAAAGGUGCACAGGCAGCAGGGAUGACCACAGCCUGGAGAGGAUUGUCAGGAAAAGGCCAUUCAAAAGUGUUGGGGACUUUCACAAGGAGUGGACUGAGGCUGGAGUCAGUGCAUCAAGAGCCAUCACAUACAGACGGAUCCUGGACAUGGUCUUCAGAUGUUGUAUUCCUCUUGUCAAGCCGCUCCUGAACAACAAACAACGUCAGAAGCAUCUUACCUGGGCUAAAGAAAAACAGACCUGGUCUGUUGCUCAGUGGUCCAAAGUCCUCUUUUCUGAUGAGAGCAACUUUUGCAUCUCAUUUGGAAACCAAGGACCCAGAGUCUGGAGGAAGAAUGGAGAGGCACACACUACAAGAUGCUUGUAUGAAGUUUCCUAAGUCUGUGUUGAUUUGGGGAGCCAUGUCAUCUGCUGGUCUUGGUCCACUGUGCUUCAUUAAGUCCAGGGUCAACGCAGCCAUCUACCAGGAGAUUUUGGAGCACUUCAUGCUUCCUUCCGCAGACGAGCUUUAUGGGGAUGCUGACUUCAUUUAGCAGCAGGAAAAUUGGCACCUGCCCACACUGCUAAAAGCACCAAAGCCUGGUUCAAUGACCGUGGGAUUACUGUGCUUGAUUGGCCAGCAAACUCGCCUGACCUGAACCCCAUAGAGAAUCUAUGGGGCAUUGCCAAGAGAAAGAUGAGACAUGAGACCGAACAAUGCAGAAGAGCUGAAGGCCACUAUUGAAGCAUCCUGGUCUUCCAUAACACCUCAGCAGUGCCACAGGCUGAUCGCUUCCAUGCCACGCCACAUUGAGGCAGUAAUUGCUGCAAAAGGAGCCCAAACCAAGUACUGAGUCCAUAUGCAUGCUUAUACGUUUUAUUGAUUGCAUGUAAUAUUCUAAUUUACUGAGAUUGUGGAUUUGGGGUUUUCAUGAGCUGUAAGCCAUAAUCAUCGCACUUAUGACAAAUCACGGCUUGAACUAUCUUGCUUUGCAUGUAAUGCGUCUAUCUCAAAUAUUAAUUUCCCCUUUUACGUUGCAUUACUGAAAUAAAUGAACUUUUGCACGAUAUUCUAAUUUUUCGAGUAUCACCUGUAUUUACAAACUUUGUUCCCACCACCAAAAGAUACAUAGCUGUUGUGUGGAAACCAGUAGCAGCUUUCACAAGAUAGAUUGUAUAGAUUGUAUUCCAAGUAGGUUCCCCCAAAAUACAAUAUAUACUACAAAUACAGAGGGAUACAGAUUCAUUUUAUUUCAUAAUUUUAUUGUGUAAUCUGUUUUACUGAUUAGUCACUGAGGACAUUCCAUAAGGGAAGAAACACGUAGGACUGUUUAUAUAUUUUAUUUUAAUAAAGCCACUUUUUGGAUUCUACCUUGCUGGUGUGCUUGUUUUGGAGCUGAGCUAAGCUGUGUUUGCUAAAGGUGAAGUUAAAGGGACACUCCAGGCACCCAGACCACUUCUGCGCAUUGGAGUGGUCUGGGUGCCAACUCCCACUACUCUUAACCCUGCAGCUGUAAAUAUUGCAGUUUUCAUAAACUGCAAUAAUUACAUUGCAGGGUUAACUCCUCCUCUAGUGGCUGUCUACUAGACAACCACUAGAGGGCACUUCCUGGUUUCUAGCACAGGUUUUCUGUGCUAGAGCGCCACUGGACGUCCUCACGCUGUGUGAGGACCUCCAGCGUCGCUCAAUUCCUCACAGGAAAGCAUUUUCAAUGCUUACCUAUGGAGAGGUCUAAUGCACGUAAGGUAAGUCACUGAAGGGGUUUUCAUCCCUUCAGCAACAUGAGAUUGGUGAUGGGAGGGAGAGGGUACCUGCAGUGCCAGGAAAACGGUUUGUUUUCCUGGCACUAGAGUGUCCCUUUAAGAAGCUGGACGCACUCCUGCCCCCUAUACUUUGGGGACGGCACCCUUAUAUGCCAAAAUUGCAUCAUUCUUUGGGAGUGCAUGCUGAUGCUAGAGCGUGGGAGUGCAAAUUUUAAACUAUCGGACACAACCUACCUGCUAUGUUCCUUACAAAACUGGGUGCAAGUGUACCUAGAAUAAUUGAUACUGUAUUAAAGACAAAGGGUGAUCACACCAUGUAUUGAUUGGAUAUAGGUUUUUCUUCUGUUCUCAAUUCUUACUUUUGUUAACUCAUAAAAAUAAACUAUUAACAUUUCUAUUUUUAAAAGCAUUCUUAUUUAACAGUAUUUUUCAUGUCUACGUAAAACAUUUGCACAGUAUUGUAUAUAAUUUGUGUUCCUAGUAUGUAUUUCUCAAUUACUGCCCCCUCCCCAUUUUUUGCCUUGAAAUGGUUAAGUUAGAGUGUUCCUGGUGGUAUUGGGUUGUAGGCCCCACCUUUAAAAUGUAGGGCCCACCAUAAGGAGUUAAACUGCUUUUAACUGCUUUGCCCCACCCCAGCACCUGACAGCUUUGCCAUUUGUUCUGUUGCUGGUUGCCCUGGAGUUCAGGAAAGUUUGCCCUGGAGGCCGGUGAUUGGUUACACAUGUAAAGUAAACAUUGCUGAUUCUCACAAAGCAUAUAUUUGACAGCCUGCAGGGGCAGCAUUUAGACUGUAGUGGCUUUGGUGUUUAGAAUGCCCUUUUAAGCCCACCUUUAUUUCAGGAGAAUCUCCUCCUCACUGCACCAUCAUUAUUUCUAAUGACUUGUGUCCAGUUUGAUGCUUCUCAAGUAGAAGAAUUAGGACACAAAAUGCAUGUGCAGCAAUCAGUGUUAUUGCCAACAAUGCAUGUCAUAGAGAAGCAUUUACAUUGAUGCCAUGCACCCCAACAUUUUAAUUGGAAGAAGACUAUUACUCUCGUUUUAGGGGUGUAAGUAGAGUUGUUCCAGGGGCACUGCUCUUUUGGGAAAUGUAUGUGACUUUAUGACUUAACAACAAUCUAUGUAACAAAGAUUUAAUUUAAAACCAGAACAAUCUAUUUUAUUUACACAAAAUGAUUUCUGAACACAUUUAUUGUAUUUCACAGACACAUUAAAGGGACACUGUACUCACCAAAACAACCUCAGCUUAAUGACGCAGUUUUGGUGUAUAGAUCAUGUCCCUGCAGUCUCACUGCUCAGUUCUAUGUCAUUUAGGAGUUAAAUCACUUUGCUUAUGAACCCUAGUCACACCUCCCUGCAUGUGACUUGCACAGCCUUCCUAAACACUUCCUGUAAACAGUCAUCUAACGUUUAUCCUUCCUUUAUUGAAAGUUCUGUUUAAUUUAGAUUUUCUCAUCCCCUGCUAUGUUAAUAGCUUGAUAUACCCUGCAAGAGCCUCCUGUAUGUGAUUAAAGUUCAAUUUACAGAGAAAGAGAUACAAUUGUUUAAGGUAAAUUACACCUGAUUGAAAGUGAAACCAGUUUUUUUUCAUGCAGGUUGUGUCAAUCAGAGUCAGGGGAGGUGUGACAAGGGCUGUGUAAACAGAAACAAAGUGAUUUAACUCCUAAAUGGCAGUGAAUUGAGCAGUGAGAUUGCAAGGGCAUGAUAUUUACAUCAAAACUGCUUCAUUAACUGAUUAAAUUGAUGUUUAGGUGACUAUAGUGUUCCUGCCUACCGCCAUCCGACUCUCCCCUAGUCUUGCAUCUUUUAAGAAGUGCCUUAAAACCCAUCUCUUUAGGAAAGCUUAUGGCCUCCAAGACUAACCCUUACCUCACAUACCCGUCUCUUGCCCUCUCCUAAAGGGCAGCCCACCUUAUUUGAUUGCACAUUCCUGUCCUAAUGUAUCUUACACCCCACCUCCUAUAGAAUGUAAGCUCGAUUGAGCAGGGUCCUCUUCAACCUAUUGUUCCUGUAAGUUUAUUUGUAAUUGUCCUAUUUAUAGUUAAAUCCCCUUUCAUAAUAUUGUAAAGCACUACGGAAUCUGUUGGCGCUAUAUAAAUGGCAAUAAUAAUAAUAAUAAUUUAAUGUGGAGUAUUAGUACUGUAAAGCUGUGAUUGAAAUUCAGACACACAAAGAAUACAAAGUUUAUUCAAAAGAGGGACAUGACGAUAGAAAAUAGACAAAGGAAAAUAGGCCAAACUUGGGACUGUCCCUACUAAAUAGGGACCCUUGGGAGGUAUGAAAUGCUUUGAAUUACAAAUCACAGUGACUGAGGAAUGUAUUUAUAAAAGUGACAAUUUCUCCUGAAAUAUAUGCUUUUACAAAACAAAGGCGAUGAGACAGAGUUAACUCUUAAAGCACUUCAUUAAUGUCCAUUUAAAUAUGCAUGAUCACUCUAACCAUGUAAUGGGUAGGCUCCAGGAACGCGGUAGAGCCUCAGGUUUGUGUCAAAAUACUUCUAAACGCGUUCGCAUUAAACCAGGGCCGGCACCAAGUGAGCUGCAGUAGUCACGUUGCUUGGAGUGUCUGUUAAAUAACAUGCAUGAACAAAACUGCACUUUUGCGGUCUUCCAAUAAAGCCUAAUUUUUAAAUAUUCUGUGCGCUUUAAUGGAACACUCCAGGCAACAAAGAAACUUAUAGCUUAUGGCACAGGCAGGUACUCAGUCCAGUCUCCUCUUAUUACUAAUUCAUUAUAACUGCCUUUCAUAUGAGUUUCAUAUUGUGGUAUUUUUGACAGACAAGUAAUUAAGUGAGAUUGCUGGAACAAACCGAUGAGACUGUUUUAUUCUCAAUUUCCAUUAAAUAGGUAUUACUUAACACGCUGUUUUACUAUUUUGUAUUUCCCCACAAUCCUGUGCUUAGCUUAGCCAGAGAGCAGGCAUUGAAAUAGACUUAUGGACACGUUCACUCAAAGUCUGUAUUUUACUGCAUAAAAUAACAAUGAAAGUGAAAUCAAAAAAGAAGUUUAAAUAUGUCUAAUAAAAAUUCAGAUCUCUUUAAUCAGAAUUAAAUCCACUCCUCUAACAAGUUAAAGCUCAUUAAAGGAUCUGUUUUAUUCCUUUUUAGGGAGUGAAAAAAGUCCGAUAGAUAUGAGGUAUCAGCAUGUAUUACUGCAGGCUUCUACACUUAUAGACUUGUUCACUGAACAAGACAUUAUUGGAAAUUCCCCAGAGAAUUGAUAUUUAUUUGCCCCAAAUAGUUUAAUUGAAAAAAAAAAAAAAAAUCCCAAAUCAUGCUCGGUAAUGCUUCUCUAGUGAAUUCCUGAUUUCUCACCUUAGUGAAUACCCCUAUAACAAAAAAUAAAAAACAAAACAGAUCAUGAGAGUUAGUGACCGUUAGCACUAUUUUGGUUUUUCUUUCCCCUGUAAUGGAAUGGCUGCUUUAAUAUUUCUACUUAUUCUGAUGUUAUUCACUAAUAAUGCACCGUAUGCUCACUAUAUUUUACAGUGAUACAUUCUAGAAUCUUUGAAGAAUAUCAAGACAUCCAUGGCCUGCCAAAGUCACCUAGUCCUCCUGCUGCUGGUCCUGUUUGCAGUCAGUUCCCACCUUUCAAAUGCCCAGCACUGGUCCCACGGCUGGUAUCCAGGCGGGAAACGAGAGUUAAACAUGGCCUCUUCCCCAGAGGUAAAUCAAUAUUCUAUUGUUACAUCAUCUGACAAUGGAUUCCUCAGUUUUGGCAUCUAGGUGGCAUUUAUUUUAGGAUUGAUGAUAUUUUAGUCAAAAUGUUCCUUGGCAAUUCACAUUUUUCCAUCACUUCAGACUCCUGUAGUGGUUAUGGUGUAAUAUGUUCUGGUGCAAAGUCUGCUUUAGCAAUAGAAUAGAGGACCAGAAGGAAUAAGGUCACCUGGGGAGGGGGGUGAAACCGUUCAGAAUCAGUGGAUGGUGGUUUAUUGCAGCUCUUGUUAAAGUAUCACAGAUUUCAUGUAAAAACUAGAAAAGGCAUACUUUUUGAAAAAAUAAAGCUUUUUAGUUUUGUGGCCAUUUUGAGGGCAUUUUUGUGUUUCCCAAUUGGACCAUUCUUUCUUUACUCUGCAGGUUUCAGAAGAAAUAAAGCUGUGUGAAGGAGAGGAAUGUGCGUAUCUAAGGAACCCCCGGAGAACCAUGCUUAAAAACAUCUUGGUAUGGUCAUAUAUAAAUAACUAGCUUAUAUAGUAUACUGGAGGUCUGAAGUUUAGAGACUAACUAACCUGGAACUGUAGUUGCUGCCCAGGGCAGAUUGUAGAAUAUUGCCAGAAGACACAGUGUAGGAUGAGAACUCUUGAAUGUAAUAGCUGCAGGGCAGGUUCCAGGAGUUUUACGAUCUGUCACGUUGUGUACCAGUCCAUUCCAGGAAUACAUGUAAGUUGCUUCGGUAGGUGAAAGGGUUAACAGAAAACUAUUUGUGUGUGCUAGACCCAAAUUAAUAAUUAAAAAAAACUGUCUUUCAACACCACCCACACUUGUUCUACUAAAGAUGUUGCCACCACCAGGAAAAUUUAAAAAAAAAAGAGGAAUCCUAUGUUAGCCUAACUAAAUUAGACUAAAAACACAAUUUAGCAGAAAUAUACAAAUCUUUAGUAAUAUGAUAAAAAAAGGAAAGUAAAUUAAAAAGGGAGAAUAUUAACAGAAAACACUAAUACUCACUGUACUUGAGAAAUGCCAAUAUUUAUCUUCCAAGAAAGGUUUUGGUAAGGAAAUUAUAAUUUUGGUAAAUUUGAUUUGGCUCUGAAAAUAGAUUACAAAGUUUUUAGGUUUCAUCAGAACUCAUAUUCAGUUUUUCCACCGUACAUUCAAUUCUGGCCCUCCAGAGUACGAGCAUGGGACUUAAGGAAUUCCAGUUUUAUGAGAGACGAUAAAUAUAUUCCAGACCUGGUUGAAAAUGUACAAUGCAUCAUAUGUGGGUACAGAUACUCCCAAUGUCUUGGUAACCAGGUCAGAGUAUCUCUGUGAAUCCCGAUAAUUAAUUUUAGACCAGACAUGACAUAUAUUUCAUCAAUAAUGUCCCCAAAAUAAAAUAACAUCUAAAAUCACUUCUCAAACUUUAAGUGAAUUAACCUUCAUUGAAUUUAUAAUAUACUUUGCAGGUGGCAUGUUGUUUCCAAGCUCUCUCCAACAGCUUAUCUGAUAAGGCGCUAUUAUUAAAGAACACUCAAAUUUAGAACUAGAUACCUGUUGUAAUAUCAUUUGGUUUACACUCCAUGCAAUAAAAUAGACCUUAGUUUACAACCCCUUUUCUGUGAUGCUACAGAUGGCUCAUUCCUCUGGCUAAAGACAGCCACGUUAACUCUUGCAAUGCUGUGAUCAGCCAUACCCUCUCUAGUGGGUAACCAUUCCAUGUAUUCACUACACACAUAACACUGAGUAACACUAUUUUUACAGUGAAACAAUUAUUAUUAUUUAUAAAAGCGCCAACAAAUUCCAUAGUGCUGUAGAAUGGGUGGACAAAGAAACUUGUAUUUUAACCCCUUAAGGACCAAACUCCUGGAAUAAAAGGGAAUCCUGACAUGUCACACAUGUCAUGUGUCCUUAAGGGGUUAAACCAGACUAAUUUGAUGCACAGGAACAGCGGGAUUGAGGACCCUACUCGACGAGCUUACAUGCUAGAGGGAGUAGGGUAUAAUGACACAAAAGGUAAGGGUUGGGUAGAAAAGUAGGUUGUUAAAAUAGUAUUCACUGAGGGCUUAGUGUUUUGUUUUGAUGAUAGUUGCAGGAGAGGAAUCGGGGUGCUUGCUUGGCAUAACAUUAUCCUGGGAAAAAACUCUGCCUGCUGCUCCCUUACGUAUUCCAGAGUGUCUUCUCUUAUCUUUUAGUCUUUUUUCUCCCCGUCUCUUUACCCUUUUGUCUUUUCUUCCAAUGCCUCUCUUUGUAAUUAAUUUAUUUUCUAGUCUCCAAACCCCUGUUGCUCCCCAGUCUCUGUUCCCUAAUUUUCACUCCGUUUUUUCGACACUCUUUCUGUUCCACUGUUUCUUUCCCCUCUUCAUCAUUCUUUUUUUUAAUCCUGACUCCAGUUUCCACCACCUGUUCUUAUUUUAUAGUUUCCCUUUCUCCUCUAUUUCCAUUGUCACCCCUUUAAUCUCUUAUAUUUACCUCUAUUAAAUGUCAUUGGAGAUUGGAGGGGGUCAUGCAUGUGAUAGCAGUUUUUUUGGUGUCGUUACAGUUGUACACAUGUGAUGGCAGUUGUGUUGUGUCGUCACAGUUGUACACGUGUGGUGGCAGUUGUGUUGGUGUCUUCACAGUUGUACUGUACAUGUGUGAUGGCAGUUGUGUGCGUGUGCUGCCAGCUGUGUGUGCAUGUUGACAGUUCUGUGCAUGUGAAGGCAGUUGUAGUUGUACUGACACAUUUAAAGCCAAUGUUUUGUCUAGGUGUGUAUGCGGGACACUCCAUGAGAAUGCUGGGAGUUUUGUUUGUGUCUGUGUGUGCAUAAUAGGAGUUGUGAGUGUGCAUGUGUGUUUCUAUGACUUCAUAUAUUUUAUGGGGGUUUUGUGUGGGGUUGUAUGUGUGUGAUAAAGGUUGUGUGUAAGAAGGCUGUCUGUGUUGUGUGUGCAAGGCUUCCGGGGCCCUGCUUGCUUUGUCCGUUAUUUUUAUUUUUCAUCAACGCAUUUUACGGCUUACCUUUUUGGUAGCGAGAGGGUCACGAUUUAUUUCCUUCACCUGCCUUGCAGUUUAGUCCUGCUGAUAUUAGUUUGAUUAUACAGUGUUAUUUAGUCUGAGUGCACAAAUGUUUCAUGUGGUCUCUCUUCUCAUUUUGUAGGCUGACUUUUUGUCAAGGCAACUCCAGAAGAAGAAGUAAUGUUUUAGUAUCCCUCACUAUCCACAUGGGACUUUUAAGUAACGUUUGCCAGCUGCAAAUUGUGUAAAACCAUCUAAGUCAAUUUCAGAAUCACGUCAUGCCUAUGAUGUCAUCUGUCUAGAGGCUGGACAACAACUGGGAGUUUGGACAUUACAUAUACAAUAUUGUUGCUUUCUUUAAGAUAUAUUUUCACAUUAUUUUGUAUACUAUACCUUUGCCAACUGGAAUCCUGUAUUAGAUCUAAGAAUAUUCAUUUUUCUGUUUGUCCUAAGACAUGUUUCUUUAGGUAAAGUUUUCCCAUCUAUGCCCAUAGAUGAUAACGCUUGUUUUGAUUACGUUUGGACUUUGGACCUGCUAAUGGGAG